CGGCAGUCAAAAUUGUCGUUGAACAACCAGUCUCCCAAUUGGCUUCGCCAAACGCUUAUCUCGCAUGUUAGUAGGCAGCUGCUUCCAUUUCCUUUACCCUCACAUUUACCCCCCAUUUCUCUCCCUUCACAAUCCCAUCCCCUCAAGCCUUUCUUUCUGCGUCGCAUCCUCGGCCAUGGAUAAGAGCUCGACUUGUACACUAUUUUUAUGCGGCAAAUCAUCUGCCGAAACCGAAAGUGCUAAAUCAUUGAAAAUCAGCAACGCUCUUAAGCUUCCAGACGGCGGCGAAGUUUCAAAUCUUUUACGGUCGGAGAUUAGUAAUUUCCAAUUCGGUGAAGAGGCUUUUGAUGUCGAUUUGUUUAUUAAUUCACUCUCGACUAACCGAUUCGGUCGGUUUCUUAUUUGGUCCCCGCGGUUAUCCUCUACGCACGACAUCGUUUCUCAUAAUUUUUGUGAGCUUCCAAUUGGUGCAGUUUGUGUAGGUGAUGUUCAGUUUAAAGGGCGAGGUCGGUCGAACAAUGCGUGGGAGUCUCCAAGGGGAUGCCUUAUGUUUUCGUUUACAUUGCAAAUGGAGGAUGGAAAAAUUGUGCCUUUGGUACAAUAUGUGGUGUCUCUCGCUGUGACAGAGGCCAUAAAGGAUGUUUGUAAUCGAAAUGGCUUCCCAUCUCUUGAUGUUAGGAUCAAGUGGCCCAAUGAUCUGUACUUAAAGGGCCUUAAAGUUGGAGGCAUUCUCUGCACCUCAACAUAUAAAUCAAAGAAGUUCAAUGUCAGUUCUGGUAUAGGUUUGAAUGUUGGUAAUGUGAAACCAACAACAUGUUUGAAUGCAGUAUUAAAAGAGCUGUCUACUACUUCAAAUGAAUUUAGAAGAGAAGAUAUUAUGGCUGCCUUCUUUAAUAAAUUUGAGAUGUUGUAUGACAUUUUUAUAAAUCAAGGAUUUCAAACACUUGAGGAGCUUUACUAUAGAACAUGGCUUCACAGUGGGCAGAGAGUUAUUGUACAGGAAAAGAAUGAGGACAGAUUUGUGGAAAAUGUGGUCACAAUCCAGGGUUUAACAUCCUCAGGAUAUUUGUUAGCUAUUGGUGACGACAAUCAGGUGUGCGAACUUCAUCCUGAUGGAAACAGUUUUGACUUCUUCAAAGGACUGGUCAGAAGGAAACUUGAAUGAAUAACAUUCCAUGGCAUCUUCCACUGGUGCAGAUUGUCGUGUUCUAACAUCGAAAGUUCAUGUGGGUAAUUCAUGACGGUGACAAAUGGUACUUAUUUCUGCUCAAAGGGAUAACUUCCUUAUUUUUUUUUGAACUUUUUUUCUUCUAUUCCAGAAGGGAGGAUGAUAACGAAAUGAGUUGUAAAGUUCAUGCGUUUUAAUUUUACUUUAAUUUAUUUAUUUUUUAUCUGUGGAUUUAUUGCUUCUCUGAACAGCUGUAAAAUUGAAGGAAGCACAUGAUCCUCA
Durio zibethinus is the source of this 1450-nucleotide non-coding RNA. Lineage: Eukaryota; Viridiplantae; Streptophyta; Magnoliopsida; Malvales; Malvaceae. The record is from RefSeq and is a predicted model, not a curated record.